CGCGUAGGUGGAAUGGUAAGUUGAGGGUGAAAGCCCGGAGCUUAACUCCGGGUCUGCCUUCAAGACUGUCAUUCUUGAGUAUGGAAGAGGGAAGUGGAAUUCCCGGUGUAGCGGUGAAAUGCGUAGAUAUCGGGAAGAACACCGGUAGCGAAGGCGGCUUCCUGGUCCAUUACUGACACUGAGGCGCGAAAGUGUGGGGAGCAAACAGGAUUAGAUACCCUGGUAGUCCACACGGUAAACGAUGGGCACUAGGUGUUGGAGGGCUCGACCCCUUCAGUGCCGCAGCUAACGCAUUAAGUGCCCCGCCUGGGGAGUACGGCCGCAAGGUUGAA
This 332-nucleotide ribosomal RNA is filed under the name uncultured Thermolithobacter sp. Its description in RNAcentral is "bacterial SSU rRNA". It matches the Rfam family "Bacterial small subunit ribosomal RNA", at positions 568 to 898 of the family's 1533-position model. Lineage: Bacteria; Bacillati; Bacillota; Thermolithobacteria; Thermolithobacterales; Thermolithobacteraceae. The record is from RNAcentral.